GACCGGAACACCCCCGGAAAACUGGGGCUAAUUCUCGAUAGGUGAAGAACUCUGGAAUGAGUCUUUGCCUAAAAGUUGUCAGGGUUAUGCUCUCUGAUAACGCCCAAGGAUGAGGCCGCGACCGAUCAGGUUGUUGGUGAGGUAAUGGCUCACCAAGCCAUUUACCGGUGCGGGCCGUGAGAGCGGGAGCCCGGAGAUGGGCACUGAGACAAGGGCCCAGGCCCUACGGGGCGCAGCAGUCGCGAAAACUUUGCAAUAAGCGAAAGCUUGACAGGGCUAUCCCGAGUGCCAUCCGCUGAGGAAGGCUUUUACCCAGUCUAGAACGCUGGGGGAAUAAGGAGAGGGCAAGUCUGGUGUCAGCCGCCGCGGUAAUACCAGCUCUCCGAGUGGUGUGGAUGUUUAUUGGGCCUAAAGCAUCCGUAGCUGGCUAAGUUAGUCCCUUGUUAAAUCCACCGAAUUAAUCGUUGGAUUGCGGGGGAUACUGCUUGGCUAGGGGACGAGAGAGGCAGACGGUAUUUCCGGGGUAGGGGUGAAAUCCUAUAAUCCCGGGAAGACCACCAGUGGCAAAGGCUGUCUGCUAGAACGCGCCCGACGGUGAGGGAUGAAAGCUGGGGGAGCGAACCGGAUUAGAUACCCGGGUAGUCCCAGCUGUAAACGAUGCAGGCUAGGUGUUUGGACGGCCACGUGCCGUUCUAGUGCCGCAGGGAAGCUGUUAAGCCUGCCGCCUGGGGAGUACGAUCGCAAGAUUGAAACUUAAAGGAAUUGGCGGGGGAGCACA
RNAcentral lists this ribosomal RNA (778 nucleotides) under uncultured crenarchaeote. Its description in RNAcentral is "bacterial SSU rRNA". It matches the Rfam family "Archaeal small subunit ribosomal RNA", at positions 119 to 880 of the family's 1478-position model. Lineage: Archaea; Thermoproteati; Thermoproteota. The record is from RNAcentral.